This 1049-nucleotide ribosomal RNA is filed under the name uncultured bacterium. RNAcentral's name for it is "bacterial SSU rRNA". It matches the Rfam family "Bacterial small subunit ribosomal RNA", at positions 8 to 1064 of the family's 1533-position model. The record is from RNAcentral.
AGAGUUUGAUCCUGGCUCAGGGUGAACGCUGGCGGCGCGCUUAAUGCAUGCAAGUCGAGCGAGAAGCCGGCUUCGGCCGGUAGAGAGCGGCAGACGGCUGAGUAACGCGUGAGCAACUUGCCCUCCGGUGGGGUAUACACUCGGGAAACUGAGGAUAAUCCCGCAUACGACCCGGUCCCCUUGGGGAUCAGGUGAAAGGCUUCGGUCGCCGGAGGAGAGGCUCGCGUCCUAUCAGGUAGUUGGUGGGGUAAAAGCCUACCAAGCCGAUGACGGGUAGCUGGUCUGAGAGGAUGACCAGCCAGAGGGGGACUGAGACACGGCCCCCACUCCUACGGGAGGCAGCAGCAGGGAAUCUUGGGCAAUGGGCGAAAGCCUGACCCAGCGACGUCGCGUGGAGGACGAAGGCCUUCGGGUUGUAAACUCCUUUUCCGAGGGAAGAUUUCGGACGGUACCUCGGGAAUAAGCCCCGGCUAACUACGUGCCAGCAGCCGCGGUAAUACGUAGGGGGCAAGCGUUACCCGGAAUUACUGGGCGUAAAGUGCGCGUAGGCGGUUGGAUAAGUCUCUUGUGAAAGCUCCCGGCUCAACUGGGAGAGGUCAAGGGAUACUAUUCGACUAGAGGACAGCAGAGGUAAGCGGAAUUCCCGGUGUAGCGGUGGAAUGCGUAGAUAUCGGGAGGAACACCAGCGGCGAAAGCGGCUUACUGGGCUGUAGCUGACGCUGAGGCGCGAGAGCGUGGGGAGCAAACUGGAUUAGAUACCCAGGUAGUCCACGCCCUAAACGAUGGAUACUAGGUAUGGGGGGUAUUGACCCCCUCCGUGCCGUAGCUAACGCGUUAAGUAUCCCGCCUGGGGACUACGGCCGCAAGGCUAAAACUCAAAGGAAUUGACGGGGGCCCGCACAAGCGGUGGAGCGUGUGGUUUAAUUCGAUGCUAAGCGAAGAACCUUACCUGGGCUUGACAUGUUGGUAGUAGCGCGCCGAAAGGCGUCGCGAUCCCGGGGUAACUCGGGAAGCCUUCACAGGUGCUGCAUGGCUGUCGUCAGCUCGUG